Molecule: long non-coding RNA, 426 nt
Organism: Sinocyclocheilus rhinocerous
Lineage: Eukaryota; Metazoa; Chordata; Actinopteri; Cypriniformes; Cyprinidae
Exons: 3
Source: RefSeq, a predicted model, not a curated record
AGAGUCCUUGAAGGAAUCCUCCGUUACCUUUCCAGCACACUUGGAGAAACGUACUGCGUUCCAACGUCUCCCAUCACUGAGAAGGCACAGCAUCAGAACAAGCCUACAACGCCAUCUACUGGACACAACAUAUUCCCCCUUUUGUGAGAAGAAAUGCUACAACUUCCACAAUAACCACAUAGUCCUUCAACCAUAUCGGACUCCUCUUCAUCCUCACACUCCUUGGGCAUUUAUUUGGAUCUGCUAGAGAGUCCUUGAAGGAAUCCUCCGUUACCUUUCCAGCACACUUGGAGAAACGUACUGCGUUCCAACGUCUCCCAUCACUGAGAAGGUAAGUACUUGCUCCUGUUUGUUUAUUCACUGUGAGAGGUUGUGAGAAUUUUGAGUCUGGUUUCUUUACAAGGAAUGGUUUUCUCACUCGCACUU